This 253-nucleotide ribosomal RNA is filed under the name uncultured bacterium. RNAcentral describes it as "partial 16S ribosomal RNA". It matches the Rfam family "Bacterial small subunit ribosomal RNA", at positions 524 to 776 of the family's 1533-position model. The record is from RNAcentral.
GACAGAGGGUGCAAACGUUGUUCGGAAUUACUGGGCGUAAAGGGCUCGUAGGUGGCCAACUAAGUCAGACGUGAAAUCCCCAGGCUUAACCUGGGAACUGCGUCUGAUACUGGAUGGCUUGAAUUCGGGAGAGGGAUGCAGAAUUCCAGGUGUAGCGGUGAAAUGCGUAGAUAUCUGGAGGAAUACCGGUGGCGAAGGCGGCAUCCUGGACCGAGAUUGACACUGAUGAGCGAAAGCUAGGGGAGCAAACGGG